CCCUCUGUCGUUGCUCCGGCGGGCGGCCCCUGGGAGGGGCCCCUGCCGCGCGCGCCGCGGCGCCCGCCGGAGCGACCCGCACGCACCCCGUGCACACCAAACCAUGGCCUGUUCUGUGUCUCUCUGAUUGCCCCGAAAACAAAUCAAAACUUUCAACAACGGAUCUCUUGGUUCUGGCAUCGAUGAAGAACGCAGCGAAAUGCGAUACGUAAUGCGAAUUGCAGAAUUCAGCGAGUCAUCGAAUCUUUGAACGCACAUUGCGCCCGCCAGUACCCUGGCGGGCAUGCCUGUCCGAGCGUCACUUCCACCAUCGAGGCCCCCCCGGGGGCCCGCAUUGGGCGGUCCUGCGGCCCCGUCUGCCGUCAGGUGCCCCAAACGCAGUGGCGGGGCUCGCUGUCACCCCGGGCGCAGUAUGUUUACUCGCCCAGGGCGUGCGGCGGGCGCCUGGCCGUCAAAACGCUCCCCACCAACUCAGGUUGACCUCGGAUCAGGUAGGAAUACCCGCUGAACUUAAGCAUAUCAAUAAGCGGAGGAAAAGAAACCAACAGGGAUUGCCCUAGUAACGGCGAGUGAAGCGGCAACAGCUCAAAUUUGAAAUCUGGCCCCAGGCCCGAGUUGUACUUUGCAGAGGAUGCUUCUGGCGCGGUGCCUCCCGAGUCCCCUGGAACGGGGCGCCACAGAGGGUGAGAGCCCCGUACGGUUGGACGCCUAGCCUGUGUGAAGCUCCUUCGACGAGUCGAGUAGUUUGGGAAUGCUGCUCUAAGCGGGAGGUAAAUCUCUUCUAAAGCUAAAUACUGGCCAGAGACCGAUAGCGCACAAGUAGAGUGAUCGAAAGAUGAAAAGCACUUUGGAAAGAGGGUUAAACAGCACGUGAAAUUGUUGAAAGGGAAGCGCCCGUGACCAGACUCGCGCCGCGCUCAUCACCCGGUGCUCGCACCGGUGCACUGGGCGCGGCUCGGGCCAGCAUCGGCCCUGGUGGGGGGACAAAGGCCCAGGGAACGUGGCUCCCCCGGGAGUGUUAUAGCCCUGGGCGCAAUGCCCCCGCCGGGACCGAGGU
This 1057-nucleotide ribosomal RNA is filed under the name Sordariomycetes sp. genotype 742 JMUR-2016. RNAcentral describes it as "eukaryotic LSU rRNA". The stretch from base 478 to 1057 matches the Rfam family "Eukaryotic large subunit ribosomal RNA", at positions 1 to 592 of the family's 3401-position model. Lineage: Eukaryota; Fungi; Ascomycota; Sordariomycetes. The record is from RNAcentral.